GUCGUUCAACUGGGCUCACGUUUUACUACAAACUAUUAAAGUAUCAGAAUGUCUACUGCGAAUUAACGCAUUUAAAUACAACUUUCAGCAACGGAUCUCUUGGCUCUCGCAUCGAUGAAGAACGCAGCGAAAUGCGAUAAGUAAUGUGAAUUGCAGAAUUCAGUGAAUCAUCGAAUCUUUGAACGCACCUUGCGCUCCUUGGUAUUCCGAGGAGCAUGCCUGUUUGAGUGUCAUGAAAUUCUCAACCUAACGAGUCUUUGCGGGCUCGGUAGGCUUGGACUUGGAGGUUCUUGUCGGCCUAACGGUCGGCUCCUCUUAAAUGCAUUAGCUCGGUUCCUUGCGGAUCGGCUCACGGUGUGAUAAUUGUCUACGCCGCGACCGUUGAAG
Molecule: unclassified non-coding RNA, 387 nt
Filed under: Daedalea confragosa
Lineage: Eukaryota; Fungi; Basidiomycota; Agaricomycetes; Polyporales; Fomitopsidaceae
Description: sequence contains ITS1, 5.8S rRNA gene and ITS2
Rfam family: 5.8S ribosomal RNA (bases 80-233)
Source: RNAcentral